UGGGGAAUAUUGCACAAUGGGGAAACCCUGAUGCAGCGACGCCGCGUGAGUGAGGAAGUAUUUCGGUAUGUAAAGCUCUAUCAGCAGGGAAGAAAAUGACGGUACCUGACUAAGAAGCCCCGGCUAACUACGUGCCAGCAGCCGCGGUAAUACGUAGGGGGCAAGCGUUAUCCGGAUUUACUGGGUGUAAAGGGAGUGUAGACGGAAUAGCAAGUCUGAUGUGAAAACCCGAGGCUCAACCACGGGAGUGCAUUGGAAACUGUUAAUCUAGAGUGUCGGAGAGGCAAGCGGAAUUCCUAGUGUAGCGGUGAAAUGCGUAGAUAUCACGCAGAACUCCGAUUGCGAAGGCAGCGUACCGGCGCCCAACUGACGCUGAAGCACGAAGGCGUGGGUAUCGAACAGGAUUAGAUACCC
This 414-nucleotide ribosomal RNA is filed under the name uncultured bacterium. RNAcentral describes it as "bacterial SSU rRNA". It matches the Rfam family "Bacterial small subunit ribosomal RNA", at positions 355 to 787 of the family's 1533-position model. The record is from RNAcentral.